GACGAACGCUGGCGGCGUGCUUAACACAUGCAAGUCGAACGGUAAGGCCCUUCGGGGUACACGAGAGGCGAACGGGUGAGUAACACGUGGGUGAUCUGCCCUGCACUUCGGGAUAAGCCUGGGAAACUGGGUCUAAUACCGGAUAGGACCACUGCCUGCAUGGGUGGUGGUGGAAAGCUUUUGCGGUGUGGGAUGGGCCCGCGGCCUAUCAGCUUGUUGGUGGGGUGAUGGCCUACCAAGGCGACGACGGGUAGCCGGCCUGAGAGGGUGACCGGCCACACUGGGACUGAGAUACGGCCCAGACUCCUACGGGAGGCAGCAGUGGGGAACAUUGCACAAUGGGCGCAAGCCUGAUGCAGCGACGCCGCGUGAGGGAUGACGGCCUUCGGAUUGUAAACCUCUUUCAGCACCGACGAAGCGCAAGUGACGGUAGGUGCAGAAGAAGGACCGGCCAACUACGUGCCAGCAGCCGCAGUAA
RNAcentral lists this ribosomal RNA (478 nucleotides) under uncultured bacterium. RNAcentral describes it as "partial 16S ribosomal RNA". It matches the Rfam family "Bacterial small subunit ribosomal RNA", at positions 28 to 523 of the family's 1533-position model. The record is from RNAcentral.